RNAcentral lists this ribosomal RNA (200 nucleotides) under uncultured prokaryote. Its description in RNAcentral is "partial 16S ribosomal RNA". It matches the Rfam family "Bacterial small subunit ribosomal RNA", at positions 1183 to 1382 of the family's 1533-position model. The record is from RNAcentral.
CGUCAAAUCAUCAUGCCCCUUAUGUCCCGGGCUACACACGUACUACAGUGGUCGGUACAGAGGGAAGCGAGGCCGCGAGGCGGAGCCAAUCCCAGAAAGCCGUCCCCAGUUCGGAUUGGAGUCUGCAACUCGACUCCAUGAAGUUGGAAUCGCUAGUAAUCGGAGAUCAGCAUGCUCCGGUGAAUACGUUCCCGGGCCUU